Molecule: non-coding RNA, 754 nt
Organism: Pimephales promelas (fathead minnow)
Lineage: Eukaryota; Metazoa; Chordata; Actinopteri; Cypriniformes; Leuciscidae
Source: the annotation of a RefSeq genome assembly
AUGGACGUUCAUCUGCACAUCCUCAGUGUCUCAGGAGUCACAAUAAACACACUAAAUAAAGUCAUGAUUGUGUAACUCUAGUGUAUAUGAGUGUGUUGUCAGCACAAGCUGUUGUAAAUCCUGCCCACUUCUUUGCAUUGUCAGCACAUGCUUCAGUGCUCUGAGAGUGUUUAUAGUGCUGUGAGUUUAACACUUCAUGACUGAGAGCAGAACACACACACUCUUCAUCAUCACACAAGACUAAACUACAACUAUGAACAACAUCGGCAUCUUCAUCUGGACUCUGUCUGUGUGUAUUCAAGGUUUCAGUGGACAGGUGACUGUGACUCAGACUCCUUCUGUAAAAACGGUUACAAUUGGUGAAUCAGUCUCGAUAAACUGCAAAACAAACACGGUAGUGAGCAAUGGCUGUCCAGGUUCAUAUACUUGUAUGCACUGGUACUCAAAGAAACCUGGAGAAGAUCCUAAACUCCUCAUAUAUGAUGCAUCAACCCUUAAUACUGGAACUCCAUCUAGAUUCAGUGGCAGUGGAUCCAGAACUGAUUUUACUCUGAGCAUCAGUGGAGUCCAGACUGAAGAUACAGGAGAUUAUUACUGUCUGAGUUAUCACUGGAUCUACAGUCAGAAUGUGUUCACACAGUGAUAAAGAGUCGUACAAAAACCUCUGUCAGUCAGACGUCACAGUGACUGCACUGAUACAGCUGAGAGAAACUGCAGCUGCUGAUGGAGGAUCACACACUACACAAUUGUAAGA